This 478-nucleotide ribosomal RNA is filed under the name Aschersonia sp. WYTM-1. Its description in RNAcentral is "LSU rRNA". It matches the Rfam family "Eukaryotic large subunit ribosomal RNA", at positions 486 to 981 of the family's 3401-position model. Lineage: Eukaryota; Fungi; Ascomycota; Sordariomycetes; Hypocreales; Clavicipitaceae. The record is from RNAcentral.
CCGUCCCAGGCCAGCAUCAGUUCGCGCCGGGGGACAAAGGCGGCGGGAACGUGGCUCCCCAGGGAGUGUUAUAGCCCGCCGCGCCAUGCCCCGGGGGCGGACUGAGGGCCGCGCAUCACUGCAAGGAUGCUGGCGUAAUGGUCACCAGCGACCCGUCUUGAAACACGGGCCAAGGAGUCGUCCUCGUAUGCGAGUGUUCGGGUGUCAAACCCCUACGCGGAAUGAAAGUGAACGUGGGUGAGAGCUUCGGCGCAUCAUCGACCGAUCCUGAUGUUCUCGGAUGGAUUUGAGUAGGAGCAUACGGGGCCGGACCCGAAAGAAGGUGAACUAUGCCUGUGUAGGGUGAAGCCAGAGGAAACUCUGGUGGAGGCUCGCAGCGGUUCUGACGUGCAAAUCGAUCGUCAAACAUGGGCAUGGGGGCGAAAGACUAAUCGAACCUUCUAGUAGCUGGUUUCCGCCGAAGUUUCCCUCAGGAAAU